UCAUAAAGUAUGUCGUAGUCCGGAUUGGAGUCUGCAACUCGACUCCAUGAAGUCGGAAUCGCUAGUAAUCGUAGAUCAGAAUGCUACGGUGAAUACGUUCCCGGGCCUUGUACACACCGCCCGUCACACCAUGGGAGUGGGUUGCAAAAGAAGUAGGUAGCUUAACCU
Molecule: ribosomal RNA, 168 nt
Filed under: Klebsiella aerogenes
Lineage: Bacteria; Pseudomonadati; Pseudomonadota; Gammaproteobacteria; Enterobacterales; Enterobacteriaceae
Description: partial 16S ribosomal RNA
Rfam family: Bacterial small subunit ribosomal RNA
Source: RNAcentral